UACGUAGGUGGCGAGCGUUGUCCGGAAUGAUUGGGCGUAAAGGGAGCGCAGGUGGGACGGUAAGUCCUUCUUAAAAGCGUGGGGCUCAGCCCCAUGAAGGGAAGGAAACUAUUGAUCUUGAGUGCCGGAGAGGAAAGCGGAAUUCCCAGUGUAGCGGUGAAAUGCGUAGAUAUUGGGAAGAACACCAGUGGCGAAGGCGGCUUUCUGGACGGCAACUGACACUGAGGCUCGAAAGCCAGGGGAGCGAACGGG
This 252-nucleotide ribosomal RNA is filed under the name uncultured bacterium. RNAcentral describes it as "partial 16S ribosomal RNA". It matches the Rfam family "Bacterial small subunit ribosomal RNA", at positions 524 to 776 of the family's 1533-position model. The record is from RNAcentral.